GUGACUGCGUACCUUUUGUAUAAUGGGUCAGCGACUUAUAUUCUGUAGCAAGGUUAACCGAAUAGGGGAGCCGGAGGGAAACCGAGUCUUAAUUGGGCGUUAAGUUGCAGGGUAUAGACCCGAAACCCGGUGAUCUAGCCAUGGGCAGGUUGAAGGUUGGGUAACACUAACUGGAGGACCGAACCGACUAAUGUUGAAAAAUUAGCGGAUGACCUGUGGCUGGGGGUGAAAGGCCAAUCAAACCGGGAGAUAGCUGGUUCUCCCCGAAAGCUAUUUAGGUAGCGCCUCGUGAAUUCAUCUCCGGGGGUAGAGCACUGUUUCGGCUAGGGGGCCAUCCCGGCUUACCAACCCGAUGCAAACUGCGAAUACCGGAGAAUGUUAUCACGGGAGACACACGGCGGGUGCUAACGUCCGUCGUGAAGAGGGAAACAACCCAGACCGCCAGCUAAGGUCCCAAAGUCAUGGUUAAGUGGGAAACGAUGUGGGAAGGCCCAGACAGCCAGGAUGUUGGCUUAGAAGCAGCCAUCAUUUAAAGAAAGCGUAAUAGCUCACUGGUCGAGUCGGCCUGCGCGGAAGAUGUAACGGGGCUAAACCAUGCACCGAAGCUGCGGCAGCGAACGUAUCACCCAAGACAACUUUACGGAGUUGACGAUUGACGGAGCGAAGCGACGUCAAAGCGUUCAUUAAAGUCGAGUUGGCUUAGGGAUACGUU
RNAcentral lists this ribosomal RNA (712 nucleotides) under Salmonella enterica subsp. enterica serovar 4,12:i:-. Its description in RNAcentral is "partial 23S ribosomal RNA". It matches the Rfam family "Bacterial large subunit ribosomal RNA", at positions 593 to 1298 of the family's 2925-position model. The record is from RNAcentral. Lineage: Bacteria; Pseudomonadati; Pseudomonadota; Gammaproteobacteria; Enterobacterales; Enterobacteriaceae.